UGCCAGACUCCUACGGGAGGCAGCAGUGGGGGAUAUUGCACAAUGGGGGGAACCCUGAUGUAGCGACGCCGCGUGGGUGAAGGAGCGUUUCGGCGCGUAAAGCCCUAUCGGCAGGGAAGAAGGAGGACGGUACCUGACUAAGAAGCCCCGGCUAACUACGUGCCAGCAGCCGCGGGAAUACGUAGGGGGCAAGCGUUAUCCGGAUUUACUGGGUGUAAAGGGGGCGCAGACGGCAGCGCAAGCCAGGAGUGAAAGCCCGGGGCCCAACCCCGGGACUGCUCUUGGAACUGCGCGGCUGGAGUGCUGGAGAGGUAAGCGGAAUUCCUAGUGUAGCGGUGAAAUGCGUAGAUAUUAGGAGGAACACCAGUGGCGAAGGCGGCUUACUGGACAGUAACUGACGUUGAGGCUCGAAAGCGUGGGGAGCAAACAGGAUUAGAUACCCCUGUAA
RNAcentral lists this ribosomal RNA (448 nucleotides) under uncultured bacterium. RNAcentral describes it as "partial 16S ribosomal RNA". It matches the Rfam family "Bacterial small subunit ribosomal RNA", at positions 329 to 793 of the family's 1533-position model. The record is from RNAcentral.